GAUGAACGCUAGCGAUAGGCUUAACACAUGCAAGUCGAGGGGCAGCAUGGUCUUAGCUUGCUAAGACUGAUGGCGACCGGCGCACGGGUGCGUAACGCGUAUGCAACUUGCCUCACAGAGGGGGAUAACCCGUCGAAAGACGGACUAAUACCGCGUACACUCUAUUUUGGGCAUCCAAGGUAGAGGAAAUGAAAUUCGCUGUGAGAUAGGCAUGCGUCCCAUUAGCUAGUUGGUGAGGUAACGGCUCACCAAGGCGACGAUGGGUAGGGGAACUGAGAGGUUGAACCCCCACACUGGUACUGAGACACGGACCAGACUCCUACGGGAGGCAGCAGUGAGGAAUAUUGGUCAAUGGGCGAGGGCCUGAACCAGCCAAGUCGCGUGAAGGAUGACUGUCUUAUGGAUUGUAAACUUCUUUUGUAGGGGAAUAAAGAGGGGCACGUGUGCCCCAGUGAAUGUACCCUACGAAUAAGCAUCGGCUAACUCCGUG
RNAcentral lists this ribosomal RNA (490 nucleotides) under uncultured bacterium. Its description in RNAcentral is "partial 16S ribosomal RNA". It matches the Rfam family "Bacterial small subunit ribosomal RNA", at positions 28 to 507 of the family's 1533-position model. The record is from RNAcentral.